AGUAGGAUACCUGGGUCAAAUUGUGAUUCCAUUUCUAGUUUUCUGAGGAAUCUCCAUACUGCUUUCCAGAGUAGUUGCACUAAUUUGCAGUUCCAUCAGCAAU
RNAcentral lists this microRNA precursor (103 nucleotides) under Marmota monax (woodchuck). The record is from RNAcentral. Lineage: Eukaryota; Metazoa; Chordata; Mammalia; Rodentia; Sciuridae.